Molecule: ribosomal RNA, 1392 nt
Filed under: uncultured bacterium
Lineage: Bacteria
Description: 16S ribosomal RNA
Rfam family: Bacterial small subunit ribosomal RNA
Source: RNAcentral
AGUUUGAUCCUGGCUCAGGAUGAACGCUAGCGACAGGCUUAACACAUGCAAGUCGAGGGGCAGCAUGUCCAGCAAUGGAUGAUGGCGACCGGCGGAAGGGUGCGUAACGCGUGAGCAACAUGCCCUAUACAGGGGGAUACACCAGGGAAACUUGGUCUAAUAUCCCAUAGCAUUCAUUGAAGGCAUCUUUAAUGAAUUAAAGCUUCGGUGGUAUAGGAUUGGCUCGCGUGACAUUAGCCAGAUGGUGAGGUAACGGCUCACCAUAGCAAUGAUGUCUAGGGGUUUUGAGAGGAAGGCCCCCCACACUGGGACUGAGACACGGCCCAGACUCCUACGGGAGGCAGCAGUGAGGAAUAUUGGACAAUGGAUGGAAAUCUGAUCCAGCCAUGCCGCGUGCAGGAAGACGGCCUUAUGGGUUGUAAACUGCUUUUAUACGGGAGCAAUAAGGGUUACGAGUAAUCCGAUGAGAGUACUGUAUGAAUAAGGAUCGGCUAACUCCGUGCCAGCAGCCGCGGUAAUACGGAGGAUCCGAGCGUUAUCCGGAAUUAUUGGGUUUAAAGGGUGCGUAGGCGGCCAUUUAAGUCAGCGGUGAAAUUUUGCAGCUUAACUGUAGAAUAGCCGUUGAAACUGUGUUUCUUGAGUACAUUUGAGGUAGGCGGAAUGUGGUGUGUAGCGGUGAAAUGCAUAGAUAUACCACAGAACACCGAUUGCGAAGGCAGCUUACUAAACUGUCACUGACGCUGAUGCACGAAAGCGUGGGUAUCAAACAGGAUUAGAUACCCUGGUAGUCCGCACAGUAAACUAUGGAUACUCUCUGCCGGCGAUACAUUGUCGGUGGCCAAGCGAAAGCGUUAAGUAUCCCACCUGGGGAGUACGUUCGCAAGAAUGAAACUCAAAGGAAUUGACGGGGGCCCGCACAAGCGGAGGAACAUGUGGUUUAAUUCGAUGAUACGCGAGGAACCUUACCCGGGUUUGAAUUGCUGAUGGCGAUAAUUGGAGACAGUUAUUUCCCUUCGGGGCGUCAGUGAAGGUGCUGCAUGGUUGUCGUCAGCUCGUGCCGUGAGGUGUCGGCUUAAGUGCCAUAACGAGCGCAACCCUUGCCGUUAGUUGCCAUCGGGUCAUGCCGGGCACUCUAUUGGGACUGCCAUCGUAAGAUGUGAGGAAGGUGGGGAUGACGUCAAAUCAGCACGGCCCUUAUGUCCGGGGCGACACACGUGUUACAAUGGGGGGUACAGUGGGAAGCUACCUGGCGACAGGUUGCGGAUCCCCAAAUCCUUUCUCAGUUCGGAUCGGAGUCUGUAACUCGACUCCGUGAAGUUGGAUUCGCUAGUAAUCGCGCAUCAGCCAUGGCGCGGUGAAUACGUUCCCGGGCCUUGUACACACCGCCCGUCA